This 570-nucleotide long non-coding RNA is filed under the name Chrysemys picta bellii (western painted turtle). RNAcentral's name for it is "lncRNA (ENSCPBG00000010720.1)". The record is from RNAcentral. Lineage: Eukaryota; Metazoa; Chordata; Testudines; Emydidae.
AGCUGGCAACAGUCCUCCCACUCGGGCACCCGGCUUGGCAGGGCUCACCCGGUCCGAGUGCUGUGCCCGUGUCCCUUCAGCUCAGCCGCGCCCUAGAGCGGAGGAAACCCAGGCAGGCAGCCUCAGGCCAGCAGGGGCCGGGCUACGGGCACCCCCCUGUCCUGGAGAGCUUGGGGCAGGAGCAGCUCAGGGCUCCACUGGGGAGCCAACUGCUCCGGGGGCUGCAGAGGCCAAAGCCACAAACAAGAUUGGCUGGCAGGGCUCAGCCGGCGGGCCCCACAGCGUGGCAGCUGCCGGGGGCUGAGCGUGGUGGAGCGGGAGAGGACCUGGAGGGCUCUGAUGUCCAGAUUCCCUGCAGGCCCCCGAAGCUUCCCGACUAACCCCCUCCCUGCGAUGGGCAGGAGGCCCUCUGGCCAGACACCCCAGGGGAUGCUCCUCGGAGACCAUCUGCUCACCCAAGCCCGCGCCGCCCCAGAAGGAAGAUGCGGGCGGGGCCAGCUGCACCCCCUGGCACCACGGCCUCAGCGGGGAGACAAGAGUUUGCAAUGGAAAGCAGCCAUGAAAAGCAGG